GUGGGGCAGAGCCAUGGAGUGCAGCUAUGGGGCAGCGCUAUUGGGCAGGGUCCCACUUGUGGGGCAGGGCUUCACUUAUGGGUCAGAGCUUCACGUACUUAUGGGGCAGCGCCCCACUUAUGGGUCACAGUCCCACUUAUGGGUCAGUCUGUGUGGGUUAAUGCCCUACUUAUGGGGCAGAGCCCCACUUAUGGGUCAGAUCCCACUUAUGGGUCAGUUUGUAUGGGGUGGCGCUGUGGGGCAGAGCCAUGGAGGGUCGCUAUGGGGCAGAGCCCCACUUAUGGGGCAGUCUGUGUGGGUUAAUGCCCUACUUAUGGGGCAGAGCCCCACUUGUGGGUCAGAGCCACUUAUGGGGCAGAGCCCCACUUAUGGGUCAGUCUGUGUGGGUCACAGCCCCACUUAUGGGUCAGAUCCCACUUAUGGGUCAAAGCCCCACUUAUGGGUCAGUCUGUGUGGGUCAGAGCCUCACUUAUGGGGCAGAGCCUUACUUAUGGGGCAGAGCCCCACUUAUGGGUCAGUCUGUGUGGGUCACAGCCCCACUUAUGGGUCAGAGCCCCACUUAUGGGUCCCGGCCCUACUUAUGGGGCAGAGCCUUACUUAUGGGUCAGUCUGUGUGGGUCACAGCCCCACUUAUGGGUCACAGCCCCACUUAUGGAUCACAGCCCUACU
RNAcentral lists this long non-coding RNA (669 nucleotides) under Chrysolophus pictus (golden pheasant). RNAcentral's name for it is "lncRNA (ENSCPIG00010007644.1)". Lineage: Eukaryota; Metazoa; Chordata; Aves; Galliformes; Phasianidae. The record is from RNAcentral.